CCUGCUCCCUCUGCCUCCCAGCCUCCUUGUGUCACCUGUUCCCUGUUCCUCUGAUUACCUGCCCUAUUGUUUCUUGUCCACCUUUGUCUGUAUUUAAGUUUGCCUUCGUCCUUUGUUCCACGUGGUGUUGUUAUGUCUUUUCAAUGUCCUCAUGAGAUGUCUUUUGGAUUUUAUCCUUGAACUGGAUAAUCUUGUCACCCUGCACCUCGCCUGCAUGUGGAGGUGCAGCACUGAUAGCUGGGACAUCAACGGCUGAAACCAUGAGAAACUAAAAUUCCCCCCUCCAAUUGUGGAGUCAUUCCUGUCAGCCCAGCAGAGACAGGGACCCAUUAUGAGUAAACCUAUUGGACAAACAAAACCUAAAAGCUGUUAAAUAAACCUUCUACUGCAAUACUGAAUUUUUUAUUUUAAAAAAAUUCAGACUUGUAUUGAGUGCAUUAAUUUUUUGGAUUAAAAAACAUAUCUUGAAAACUAAAUGUUUGUCAUCACACAUUUUUAAGAGUGCCUCCAAGUGAUUAAAUGAUUAUCAACUUAAAAAAUCUGAAUUUGUUGGACUGCAGUUGUGCUGAGGUUGCUUCAAGCAUUCUGCAGGCAGAUAUGAGCUAAUUUCAUCAGUGUAAAUAGAGAGUCCUCAUUAUUUAGAAUGAGACAUC
Girardinichthys multiradiatus is the source of this 653-nucleotide long non-coding RNA. RefSeq lists it as uncharacterized. The record is from RefSeq and is a predicted model, not a curated record. NCBI's taxonomy places the organism in Eukaryota, Metazoa, Chordata, Actinopteri, Cyprinodontiformes, Goodeidae. The transcript has 2 exons.